RNAcentral lists this ribosomal RNA (186 nucleotides) under Gammaproteobacteria bacterium. RNAcentral's name for it is "partial 16S ribosomal RNA". It matches the Rfam family "Bacterial small subunit ribosomal RNA", at positions 1 to 185 of the family's 1533-position model. Lineage: Bacteria; Pseudomonadati; Pseudomonadota; Gammaproteobacteria. The record is from RNAcentral.
AAGUGAAGAGUUUGAUCCUGGCUCAGAUUGAACGCUGGCGGCGUGCCUAACACAUGCAAGUCGAGCGGUAACAGGUGUAGCAAUACAUGCUGACGAGCGGCGAACGGGUGAGUAAUGCUUCGGAAUCUGCCCAAUGGUGGGGAACAACCAGCCGAAAGGUUGGCUAAUACCGCAUAAGUCCUACGG